This 72-nucleotide transfer RNA is filed under the name Argiope bruennichi. RNAcentral's name for it is "transfer RNA glycine (anticodon UCC)". It matches the Rfam family "tRNA". Rfam says of the family: Transfer RNA (tRNA) molecules are approximately 80 nucleotides in length. Their secondary structure includes four short double-helical elements and three loops (D, anti-codon, and T loops). RNAcentral also lists the same sequence under 1 other name. The record is from RNAcentral. Lineage: Eukaryota; Metazoa; Arthropoda; Arachnida; Araneae; Araneidae.
GCGUCGGUGGUAUAACGGUCAGCAUAGCUGCCUUCCAAGCAGUUGACCCGGGUUCGACUCCCGGCCGACGCA